GACAGUAUAGCUCAGUGGUAGAGCAUGUGCCUACCAUGCACAAGGUCCUGGGUUCAAUCCCCAGUACCUCCA
RNAcentral lists this transfer RNA (72 nucleotides) under Camelus bactrianus (Bactrian camel). It matches the Rfam family "tRNA". From Rfam's summary of the family: Transfer RNA (tRNA) molecules are approximately 80 nucleotides in length. Their secondary structure includes four short double-helical elements and three loops (D, anti-codon, and T loops). Further hydrogen bonds mediate the characteristic L-shaped molecular structure. tRNAs have two regions of fundamental functional importance: the anti-codon, which is responsible for specific mRNA codon recognition, and the 3' end, to which the tRNAs corresponding amino acid is attached (by aminoacyl-tRNA synthetases). tRNAs cope with the degeneracy of the genetic code in two manners: having more than one tRNA (with a specific anti-codon) for a particular amino acid; and 'wobble' base-pairing, i.e. permitting non-standard base-pairing at the 3rd anti-codon position. Lineage: Eukaryota; Metazoa; Chordata; Mammalia; Artiodactyla; Camelidae. RNAcentral also lists the same sequence under 2 other names. The record is from Rfam by way of RNAcentral.